CCGCUUCCCAACCCUCCUCUUCCUCCUUGCUGGUUUACCAAGCUGCUUGCAGAAGGGGUGGGCAGCAAACCUGUCCCAGCAUCACCCUGACACCACCUACAGCCCCAGUGCACCGAGCUGCUCAUCCACGGUGCAUCCCCGUGGGGACCAGCUCUUGCACCCUUGGUGGCAUACAGCACCAAGCAUCUCCCUGCUCCCAGCAGUGGUCAGACACCCCAGCUCUCUGGAAGCAGACCCAGUGAGGAGCCAAGCACCCAGGCUGCAAAGUCCUCUGCUAACCCAGAUUCAUCUGAAGGGCUCAGGAGCAUUGCCCCCGGAGCAAGAGAUGAGACCCUGAGGCACUGUGCAGCAGUGGGGAAACCAUCUCCAAACUCAGUGGUGAUCAAUGCGAUGUGCACUGGCAGAACCACUCCGUGUGCAGGGAGGUGAUGCUCCACCACCAGUUCAUCUGGCUCCAACCUCUCCCUCCCAGGGCUGCAUGUAAAGAACUGACCAUGGCCCGCUUCAGGCCCAGGACACACUGCACCAAGCAGGUCUCAAGCCCAGCUUCAGAGCUUACGAGGGAGGCAAGCUGUCACUGUCACACGCACCUCUCCGAGCGAGAGCUGCACGGGCGAUUCUGGGAGGGGUUUCCAUCUGCCUGAGCGAAAAGCAGGAUGUAAGAGGGCAAGGCGGUGAAGCUGACUCUCCGUGCCCCGUAAGCGGGCUGGGGGACGGCACCUGUGGGCACAGCGGCAGCCUUGCACGGCCGCUUGCUCCGUUGGCACUGGGCCCAGUGCAGGCAGGAGCUGGUGAUGCCAGCGGGUGAGUAAUUGCUGAGCGCUGACUCAGCGCAGGCUGGGCUGCAGCCGGCUCACCCCGAUCUGCCGGAGAGGCUCACGGUGGAGCUCCCAGCUCAAACAUGGCAUUUCCCCUUGGCUGAGCCCCAGAGAACGCUCAGGCCAGCCAGCAGCCCAUGGGCAUUUCCAGCCAGCCUGGGCUCAUUCCCCAGUCCCAGCAUCGCCCUAGAGAUGCCACCAGGACAACGAAUCCUUCCAACCAGGACGUCUCCAACAAGCACACUCCUGACCCACGCCGUGCUGCUGUGGGCACACGACGCCCGUCACCACGUCCCAAGCACCAGGCUCAGUGUCCACCUUCCUCCAACAAACCGGUGCCACAUCCCACGUGGUGCCACUGUGCAGGAGCUUGCAUACCAGGAGAUGGGACUGCAGCCAACAGCUCUGCAAGGACCCCAGAUACCUGAGGUUCCCAUGCCUCAUUUUCCCUGAGCCGCUUCUGCUCAAGCCACCACCAUCGGUGAGUGCAAACCCAACAAACAAUACCUGCUCACUUCUUUUUGU
Molecule: non-coding RNA, 1343 nt
Organism: Meleagris gallopavo (turkey)
Lineage: Eukaryota; Metazoa; Chordata; Aves; Galliformes; Phasianidae
Source: RefSeq, a predicted model, not a curated record